RNAcentral lists this ribosomal RNA (724 nucleotides) under Psychrobacter faecalis. Its description in RNAcentral is "bacterial SSU rRNA". It matches the Rfam family "Bacterial small subunit ribosomal RNA", at positions 56 to 767 of the family's 1533-position model. The record is from RNAcentral. Lineage: Bacteria; Pseudomonadati; Pseudomonadota; Gammaproteobacteria; Moraxellales; Moraxellaceae.
UGCAGUCGAGCGGUAACAGGAGAAGCUUGCUUCUCGCUGACGAGCGGCGGACGGGUGAGUAAUACUUAGGAAUCUAGCCUAGUAGUGGGGGAUAGCUCGGGGAAACUCGAAUUAAUACCGCAUACGACCUACGGGAGAAAGGGGGCAACUUGUUGCUCUCGCGUAUUAGAUGAGCCUAAGUCGGAUUAGCUAGAUGGUGGGGUAAAGGCCUACCAUGGCGACUGAUCUGUAGCUGGGCUGAGAGGAUGAUCAGCCACAGCCGGGACUGAGACACGGCCCGGACUCCUACGGGAGGCAGCAGUGGGGAAUAUUGGACAAUGGGGGCAACCCUGAUCCAGCCGAUGCCGCGUGUGUGAAGAAGGCCUUUUGGUUGUAAAGCACUUUAAGCAGUGAAAAAGACUCCGUGGUUAAUACCCAUGGACGAUGGACAUUAGCUGCAGAAUAAGCACCGGCUAACUCUGUGCCAGCAGCCGCGGUAAUACAGAGGGUGCGAGCGUUAAUCGGAAUUACUGGGCGUAAAGCGAGCGUACGGUGGGUUGAUAAGUCAGAUGUGAAAGCCCCGGGCUUAACCUGGGAACGGCAUCUGAUACUGUUAGGCUAGAGUAGGUGAGAGGAAGGUAGAAUUCCCGGUGUAGCGGUGAAAUGCGUAAAGAUCUGGAGGAAUANCNAUGGCGAAGGCCGCCUUCUGGCAUCAUACUGACACUGAGGUUCGAAAGCGUGGGUA